AAGUCGUAACAAGGUUUCCGUAGGUGAACCUGCGGAAGGAUCAUUAUCACGUUAUUCCAACGUACUCAAAACGCGUUAUGUUUUCCAUUAACUCCCGCCCGCCUACAUGAUCGGCUACGUGCUAACUGAGGGUAUGAGAUGGGUUUAGUCGAGAGGCUAUCCGAACUCAGACACGGACAUUACGAUGUAGUAGGUAUCCGGCUAGCUGCGAAUGAGUAGACCAGUCUGUCUCAUGGACAAAAGUUUGCGGCACAUCUUUUAAUUAACAAUUUUCACCCAAUUUUUGCUAGUUGACAUUAUCUUGCUCGUACUCUCUCUUCAUUGAGAGGUGCAGCACGUUUAUUUAAUUAAACGUUAAAAUCAAUACAACUCUUAGCAAUGGAUAUCUUGGUUCUC
This 396-nucleotide unclassified non-coding RNA is filed under the name fungal sp. RNAcentral describes it as "partial internal transcribed spacer region". The stretch from base 1 to 46 matches the Rfam family "Eukaryotic small subunit ribosomal RNA", at positions 1786 to 1831 of the family's 1831-position model. Lineage: Eukaryota; Fungi. The record is from RNAcentral.